Molecule: long non-coding RNA, 113 nt
Organism: Haemorhous mexicanus (house finch)
Lineage: Eukaryota; Metazoa; Chordata; Aves; Passeriformes; Fringillidae
Exons: 2
Source: RefSeq, a predicted model, not a curated record
ACCACCCAUCCCACGUGGGACUGCUCUUUCAGAAAGGCAGCUAACUCUGAAUGCAUCACUUUGCAAGAAAUGAGUGUCUUCCCCAACUUGCUGACACUUCUCUUCUUCUGAAG